Mercurialis annua (annual mercury) is the source of this 677-nucleotide long non-coding RNA. RefSeq lists it as uncharacterized. The record is from RefSeq and is a predicted model, not a curated record. The transcript is spliced from 3 exons. NCBI's taxonomy places the organism in Eukaryota, Viridiplantae, Streptophyta, Magnoliopsida, Malpighiales, Euphorbiaceae.
AAAAUAGGGACCUUUUAAAAAUUUGUCCCCAAUUGUUCUAUUACACUAUUAUUGGGGACGGAAUUUCCUAUUUAGUAUGGAAUGAAAACCUAAAUAGAAUAGGGGACCAAAUUAUUAAGCUACUCAAUUUGCAAAAGGAAAAAAGCGGCAAUUCAGAAAAUAAAACAAAAAAGUGGCGGUAUUUUUUUGGUGCAAACUAGUGAAACUAUUGUGCCUCUUUUGGGUAUACAAAUGAUACUCUAAAGCAAUUGUUGAACAAAAUUUACACAAUUUUCUCAUCAAAGUUGACAAAAUUGGAUUAAGAGUUGAGUUUGGGGAAUCACUUUUAUUUAGAGAGCACAAUCGGAUUCAAUUAUUUCACAAGAAUAAUAUUGUGGGUCAUCGUCUUUAAAUGACGGGCAAACGCAAAAGUACAAGCAGAAAGCUACCGCCGACACUAAAAAAACAUCCAACUACUCAAAGGUUAAUUGAUACACAUGAUUCAGAUGAGACUCUUCCUCCUUCUCAAUUUAUAUCAGAUGAGCCAAUUGUGUUUGAUGGUUGGAGACAAGUUUCGAGACAAGUUUCGAGACAAAUUCCGAUGGUUAAUAAGCAACGGAAUUUAGAUGCAGCUACUAAUAAUCGCCCAAUUCUUCCAAAUGAGAGACGCUCAGCUGGCGGUAUAUAUUUGUUCUUUU